This 123-nucleotide ribosomal RNA is filed under the name Hebeloma colvinii. RNAcentral's name for it is "partial 5.8S ribosomal RNA". It matches the Rfam family "5.8S ribosomal RNA", at positions 35 to 154 of the family's 154-position model. From Rfam's summary of the family: 5.8S ribosomal RNA (5.8S rRNA) is a component of the large subunit of the eukaryotic ribosome. It is transcribed by RNA polymerase I as part of the 45S precursor that also contains 18S and 28S rRNA. Functionally, it is thought that 5.8S rRNA may be involved in ribosome translocation. The record is from RNAcentral. Lineage: Eukaryota; Fungi; Basidiomycota; Agaricomycetes; Agaricales; Hymenogastraceae.
GAUGAAGAACGCAGCGAAAUGCGAUAAGUAAUGUGAAUUGCAGAAUUCAGUGAAUCAUCGAAUCUUUGAACGCACCUUGCGCUCCUUGGUAUUCCGAGGAGCAUGCCUGUUUGAGUGUCAUUA